Molecule: transfer RNA, 64 nt
Filed under: Desmognathus fuscus (dusky salamander)
Lineage: Eukaryota; Metazoa; Chordata; Amphibia; Caudata; Plethodontidae
Description: tRNA-Cys
Source: RNAcentral
GUCCCGUGGUGUAUAGCACAUAAAAUUGCAAAUUUUAAAGAGCAAAUAAUUCCUGCCGGGGCUU